Molecule: long non-coding RNA, 305 nt
Filed under: Medicago truncatula (barrel medic)
Lineage: Eukaryota; Viridiplantae; Streptophyta; Magnoliopsida; Fabales; Fabaceae
Description: lncRNA gene21484
Source: RNAcentral
GAAACACAACCCUAGAUCAUUUCACUCCGGUCCAAAAGGGAGAUGUUCAUUGUCAGACGGCACUUUUCUGGAUUCUCUCUCAAGCAGUUAACGCUGCUCACAAAGCUGAAUUGUUUUCAGGUAAUUCAAAAAGGGCUAUAUCAGACCUAGCACGUCCAACACAGGAUCGGUUUGUUUCCCUUUCUCAUAAAAUAUCAUCAGUUUUAUUUUUUUAAUCCGUAUUUGGGAAUUGUCUUCAAUAUUAUUGCAAUCGGUGUUGAUUUAUAGGCACCUAACUGAUAUACGCUACACAUUUGAGAAUUAUA